This 305-nucleotide ribosomal RNA is filed under the name uncultured bacterium. Its description in RNAcentral is "bacterial SSU rRNA". It matches the Rfam family "Bacterial small subunit ribosomal RNA", at positions 334 to 655 of the family's 1533-position model. The record is from RNAcentral.
AAUACCUACGGGACGCAGCAGUGAGGAAUAGUGGUCAAUGGAGGCAACUCUGACGCAGUGACGCCGCGUAUAGGAAGAAGGUUUUCGGAUUGUAAACUAUUGUCCUCAGGGAAGAAAAAAGACUGUACCUGAGAAGAAAGCUCCGGCUAACUACGUGCCAGCAGCCGCGGUAAUACGUAGGGAGCAAGCGUUAUCCGGAAUUAUUGGGUGUAAAGGGUGCGUAGACGGGAUAACAAGUUGGUUGUGAAACCCCUCGGCUCAACUGAGGAACUGCAACCAAAACUAUUAUUCUUGAGUGCAGGAGG